This 346-nucleotide RNase P RNA is filed under the name Emergencia sp. Its description in RNAcentral is "RNase P RNA component class A". It matches the Rfam family "Bacterial RNase P class A". Rfam says of the family: Ribonuclease P (RNase P) is a ubiquitous endoribonuclease, found in archaea, bacteria and eukarya as well as chloroplasts and mitochondria. Its best characterised activity is the generation of mature 5'-ends of tRNAs by cleaving the 5'-leader elements of precursor-tRNAs. The record is from RNAcentral. Lineage: Bacteria; Bacillati; Bacillota; Clostridia; Peptostreptococcales; Anaerovoracaceae.
UGGGUAAACCAGACAAUCGCGUGCAGUGAUGCAUGAGGAAAGUCCGGGCUCCAUAGGGCGAGGAUGCCGGAUAACGUCCGGCGUAGGUAACUAUAGGGAAAGUGCAACAGAAACAUUCCGCCGAAACGGGUUAUGCCGUGGUAAGGUUGAAAUGGUGAGGUAAGAGCUCACCGGCGUCAUGGAGACAUGACGGCCGUGUAAACCCCAUCCGGAGCAAGGUCAAAUAGGGCGCAAAAGCGGCGGCCCGUCGCUGCCCGGUAGGUAGACCGCAAGAGCGUGCAGUAAUGUUACGCCUCAGAUAGAUGAUUGUCUAAUACAGAACCCGGCUUAUAGGUUUGCCCAUACU